Molecule: unclassified non-coding RNA, 293 nt
Filed under: uncultured Ascomycota
Lineage: Eukaryota; Fungi; Ascomycota
Description: sequence contains ITS1
Rfam family: 5.8S ribosomal RNA (bases 1-105)
Source: RNAcentral
GAAAUGCGAUAAGUAAUGUGAAUUGCAGAAUUCAGUGAAUCAUCGAAUCUUUGAACGCACAUUGCGCCCCCUGGCAUUCCGGGGGGCAUGCCUGUUCGAGCGUCAUUUACACCACUCAAGCUCUGCUUGGUAUUGAGCCGCGCCAGCAAUGGCCAGCUCCAAACUCAGUGGCGGCGCCGUCGGGUUCCGAGCGUAGUAACAACUCUCGCUGUGGACUCCUGCGGUUGACGACCAGCAACCCAAAUUUUUUUAUGGUUGACCUCGGAUCAGGUAGGAAUACCCGCUGAACUUAA